AGCGGUUAUAAAAUCAGAGUGUGUUACUUUCUGUGCUUGGAUUGGAAAUGGCGAUGAAAUCAACAAGUGUCAUUGCAAUUGCUGUGGUGCUGCUGGUUCUCUUGGGGGGUGCGAUGCAAGCUGAAGCUGCUGGACAGCGGGCGCUCCUCCAGCGAGUUUGCCCAGCUGUGUGCCAGUACACUCGAGUGGUUUGCGGAGGCGUUCUGAAUAGGAAUGCAUGCUUUAACUCUUGCAAUCUCCCGCGAGGAUGCCGACCAGUGUGAUCUGAUCCACAGUCCCACGUUAUCCCAUCAAUAAAGAGCUAUCUUGUUUGUUAUGGUACCAGUUUAGGGUUCUAGCGGAGUUCAGGACCAGGAAGUGAAAGCUCUCGUUUCCUGCCAUGCAUCUUCACCAGGAUGGGAGAGUCGUCGGCAUUCCGGAGCUGGAGCUGGGAAGUGCCAGCGUUUGAGCCCAGGAGUUCUUCCGCGGCGAAUAGCACCUUGUGGAGUGACGUGGAUGGAAACAAUUUGCAAACUCCAUCUUCUUGGCGCUUAAAGGAAGAGGAGGAAAUUCGGAAAUGCUCCAUUCCUCCAUCACCAUGCCCGGCGGUACCGUCCUGGCGUGCUAUUUCGUGAGCCAUGGUAGACCCUUUUGCAAGGCUUCUCGACUGUACCGCGCGGUGAGAAGAUGAACGCUCACACAUUUCCAUCCCAAAGGACGCCGCCAAAGCCAUUGAGCUGCGUCUUGGAAACUAAGUGGCUGGAGGACUUUGUGAAAAGGUAUACCAGCCUUUUGUGGAGCAACUCCUGGAUUCCAUGGAGGUGAAGGUGAAGUUUGUCCAACCGCGAUAUCGGCAAACCAGGGCUUACCAGUAUGGCUUGAGCCCUUAGGUGGAAAGAUGGACGAAGAAAGGAGCUGCUGCUGCUGCUACAGCUGAGAAGAUCACUCAAAAAUAAACUAAAGAGAAAAUCACAUCGACACAAGCUAAAGAAAGCAUCGAUCCCAACUGGAGAAGAAAAACAGAAGGACAAGAAAAUAGCGGAAGCCGAGCCGGAGGUCGUGGUGUCCACAUCGCUGCAAUACUCGAGCGGAACAAGGAUGAUCAAGUUUCCACGGGUUUGACACCGGGGGAAAGAGCGGCACACCGGACGACUUGGUGGCGGACUUGAGCACCGCACUGGAGAUGACGACGGCUUUGAGGCGAAGAUCGAUGGAGCAAACAUGGCCUUUAGCUUGGGUUACGACGCCCACACAGAACCGCUCUCACUUCAUAUCCUCGAGUACGAAGUUUUGGACCGGUGGAUUACUGAGCACAACGAAAGGCUGUUUCGCUUGCUGGGGGACGAGCCGGGAAAGAUGAUACUCUAUGGCGAGUGGAUGGUGGCCAUUCACUCGAUCCAUUACUAGGAUACCGGACUACUUCAUCGCAUUUGACAUCCUGGACGUUGAAAAGGAGAGAUUUUACAGCCGGGAGAGGUUUAACGCUGGGAUCAAGCAAGCGAACGAGCUGAGGAGGAGUCGAUAGAAAAAGUUCCCGGGAUCUUCAUGGUUGAUGGGAUGCUGGUCAAGAGCAAGGCCAAGUGGAUGAAGCUGCUGAUGUCUUGCAACUCGGCGGACAGGGAUGGAGCCGUGGAGGGGAUUUACGUCAGGAUUGACGAGAGGGAUUGGUGGUGAGGCCGGAUUUUGUUCCAAGGAAUGAGCAGUGGUCCAAAUUUAAGAUCACGAAGAACAUACGUCAACGUUAA
Long non-coding RNA from Selaginella moellendorffii, 1724 nucleotides. RefSeq lists it as uncharacterized. The transcript has 4 exons. Lineage: Eukaryota; Viridiplantae; Streptophyta; Lycopodiopsida; Selaginellales; Selaginellaceae. The record is from RefSeq and is a predicted model, not a curated record.